RNAcentral lists this ribosomal RNA (216 nucleotides) under Triticum aestivum (bread wheat). Its description in RNAcentral is "partial small subunit ribosomal RNA". The record is from RNAcentral. Lineage: Eukaryota; Viridiplantae; Streptophyta; Magnoliopsida; Poales; Poaceae.
AUGGCCCAGGCCGUUUACUGCCUCCACACAAGGCCGUUCGAUGAUGCAACGCUCAAGCUGAUCACCCUUGCCAGCACCCUAGACUCCCAUGAAAUAUCUAGUCAAAAAAAUGGAUACACACUAUUCAUCGCAUUUGUCAUCGAGCGAUUGCACCACUAUCUUCAGAAGCUCAUCACCCUGAGGAAAUCAGCCAACACCUCCCAGAGAGGAGCUUGA